Molecule: transfer RNA, 77 nt
Filed under: Myxococcales bacterium
Lineage: Bacteria; Pseudomonadati; Myxococcota; Myxococcia; Myxococcales
Description: tRNA-Arg
Rfam family: tRNA
About the family: Transfer RNA (tRNA) molecules are approximately 80 nucleotides in length.
Source: RNAcentral
GCCCCGGUAGCUCAGUUGGAUAGAGCAGCUGCCUUCUAAGCAGCGGGUCGGGGGUUCAAAUCCCUCCCGGGGCGCCA